This 492-nucleotide ribosomal RNA is filed under the name uncultured bacterium. RNAcentral describes it as "partial 16S ribosomal RNA". It matches the Rfam family "Bacterial small subunit ribosomal RNA", at positions 29 to 507 of the family's 1533-position model. The record is from RNAcentral.
AGUGAACGCUGGCGGUAGGCCUAACACAUGCAAGUCGAACGGCAGCACAGUAAGAGCCUGCUCUUACGGGUGGCGAGUGGCGGACGGGUGAGGAAUACAUCGGAAUCUACUUUUUCGUGGGGGAUAACGUAGGGAAACUUACGCUAAUACCGCAUACGACCUACGGUUGAAAGCAGGGGAUCUUCGGACCUUGCGCGAUUGAAUGAGCCGAUGUCGGAUUAGCUAGUUGGCGGGGUAAAGGCCCACCAAGGCGACGAUCCGUAGCUGGUCUGAGAGGAUGAUCAGCCACACUGGAACUGAGACACGGUCCAGACUCCUACGGGAGGCAGCAGUGGGGAAUAUUGGACAAUGGGCGCAAGCCUGAUCCAGCCAUACCGCGUGGGUGAAGAAGGCCUUCGGGUUGUAAAGCCCUUUUGUUGGGAAAGAAAAGCAGCAGGUUAAUACCCCGCUGUUCUGACGGUACCCAAAGAAUAAGCACCGGCUAACUUCGUG